RNAcentral lists this ribosomal RNA (253 nucleotides) under uncultured bacterium. Its description in RNAcentral is "partial 16S ribosomal RNA". It matches the Rfam family "Bacterial small subunit ribosomal RNA", at positions 524 to 776 of the family's 1533-position model. RNAcentral also lists the same sequence under 1 other name. The record is from RNAcentral.
UACGAAGGGGGCUAGCGUUGCUCGGAAUUACUGGGCGUAAAGGGCGCGUAGGCGGAUGUUUAAGUCAGAGGUGAAAGCCCAGGGCUCAACCUUGGAACUGCCUUUGAUACUGGGCAUCUUGAGUACGGGAGAGGUGAGUGGAACUCCGAGUGUAGAGGUGAAAUUCGUAGAUAUUCGGAAGAACACCAGUGGCGAAGGCGACUCACUGGCCCGUUACUGACGCUGAGGCGCGAAAGCGUGGGGAGCAAACAGG